Molecule: ribosomal RNA, 452 nt
Filed under: uncultured bacterium
Lineage: Bacteria
Description: bacterial SSU rRNA
Rfam family: Bacterial small subunit ribosomal RNA
Source: RNAcentral
UUCGCAAUGCCCGAAAGGGUGACGAAGCGACGCCGCGUGUGGGAAGAAGGCCUUCGGGUUGUAAACCACUGUCGGGAGUUAGGAAAUGUAAGGGUGCUAAUAGUAUCCUUACUUGACUAAGGCUCCGGAGGAAGCCACGGCUAACUCUGUGCCAGCAGCCGCGGUAAUACAGAGGCGGCAAGCGUUGUUCGGAAUUAUUGGGCGUAAAGAGCACGUAGGCGGCCUUGUAAGUCAGUUGUGAAAGCCUUCUGCUUAACGGAAGAACAGCAGCUGAUACUGCAAGGCUAGAGUGCGGAAGGGGAGAGUGGAACUUCUGGUGGAGCGGUGAAAUGCGUAGAUAUCAGAAGGAACACCGGCGGCGAGGGCGACUCUCUGGUCCGUAACUGACGCUGAGUGUGCGAAAGCUAGGGGAGCAAACGGGAUUAGAUACCCCGGUAGUCCUAGCCGUAAAC